GUGAAUCAUCAAAUUUUUGAACGCGAAUUGCGCUUCCUGGCAUCCCGGGAAGUAUGCCUGUUUGAGGGUCAGUAUUAACAACAAAUCGGUUUGGUUGCAAAUUGUGACGUUUCCGGAGUUUGGGCUUUCUCAACUUUUUUGGUCAAGGGGCUUAAAAUUGACCUUAUUUGCGCAUUUUUAGACGUACAUAAAUUUUUUUUUUAUUUUUCUAUCUUUAUUCCCAAAUUCUUAUUAGAGU
This 238-nucleotide unclassified non-coding RNA is filed under the name Glomeraceae sp. RNAcentral describes it as "partial contains 5.8S ribosomal RNA and internal transcribed spacer 2". The stretch from base 1 to 71 matches the Rfam family "5.8S ribosomal RNA", at positions 84 to 154 of the family's 154-position model. The record is from RNAcentral. Lineage: Eukaryota; Fungi; Glomeromycota; Glomeromycetes; Glomerales; Glomeraceae.